RNAcentral lists this long non-coding RNA (1141 nucleotides) under Heterocephalus glaber (naked mole-rat). RNAcentral describes it as "lncRNA (ENSHGLG00100041059.1)". The record is from RNAcentral. Lineage: Eukaryota; Metazoa; Chordata; Mammalia; Rodentia; Bathyergidae.
AAACAAAAAAGUGGGAUAAGGAUUUGGUGGACAUUCCUGUAAUGUAAAGAGGGAGAUUGGUACUGAGGGAUUCUAAGAUGAGAAAGUAAAGGGCAGAAAGUAAAAGUUGGAUCUUUGUUUCCUUACUCCUCUCUCUCAGGAUAAAUCUAGAUUACAGGAGGGGAGCCUGGAGGGAAGGAGACAUGGAGCAGGAUCACUCAAAUAGACCUAAUGAAAUAAUACACGGUAACUUCAUAUAUCACCUGAGAAGGACACAUUCAUUCUGUGUGGGAUGAGAAACAAGGCAAUGAUGGACAAAGAUGUGCCUCCAGCCUUAAAUCAUUAGUGAAACUUACCUGGAGAAGGAAGAAGAAGAAGAAGAGUGUUGGGAAAGAAAACAAGGAUAAGGGCAAGGGGGACAAGGAGGAAGAACAAGAAGAGGAAGGAGGAGGCAGAGCACCACCCAAUUUUGGCUCUGGAGAUAUAUAAAGAGAUUGCCAAAAGUAUUGGAGGAAGCUUCUUCGCUAUUUUGAGAGAAUUUCUGAAAGUGACCUCUUUCCCUAGAUGUAAAUGAGGAAACCUAUUUCUAUAUGUCAAGGUUCUUACUUGUGCGUGACAGAAAUGAAUUGUGGAUAGUUUGAGCAGGGAAAAUAUUAUUAAAUGAUAUCAGAGAGUUCACAGAAUCUGAAAAAUUCAGAAACCAGGCUUCAGCCUACACACCAGAAAAUAUCCUUUUGUAGACUGCUGCCCCACUAGUAGAGGCAGCUGAACACUAAAGACUUCCACCUGAACCUCUGCAUCUGCUGCUUCUGGGAAUAGUAUUGCCAACCUUGCCAGGACUUAUACAUGGCUCUUGCAUCUUCAUGUCACUAGAUUCCACAAAGCUGCAAGGAAGGCUAGGAAGGAAUUUCUGAAUUUUACAUUGGGGAAGUAAAGACUCAUAAGAUGGAGAACUCCAUACAGGAAAAGUUUUCAAAGAUGCCUUGUGGCCAUAAAGAAUGCAUAUGGCCACUACAUCUUGGGAGUUGUUGGCAACUAUCUUGUAAUCUUGAUAGGGAAUUAGACAUGAUGAAACUGACUGCCAGAACUCAAGAGAGUUGGAAAGAAACUGAGUGAACAAUGAUAACUCAGAGAUGCUGAACUAAAGCAUACCUGAAGCCCA